GAAGGAAGGAAGGAAGGAAGGAAGGAAGGAAGGAAGGAAGGAAGGAAAAGAAAGAAUUUAUACUAAACCCAUUGCACAGUGAUAACAAAAGUAAAUUCUGUAUUGCUUAUGGGGUCUCAGGACAAUUGUUUGUGCUCAAGUCAAUCACCACAGGCUGUGCCAUGCAAAUAAAAUAGAAGCACAUGGCAGUGGGUUUUGAAUAAGGGGUAGAGUGAAAGUGGAGAACAAAGAGAGGACAGAGAAAGAGAAGAUGAAAGAAAGAAAGGAAGAAAAGAAAGGAAGAAAGGAAGAAAGGAAGAAGGGAAGAAAGGAAGAAGGAUCACCAUUCCUGGCUCCAGUGUUGAUCAAGGCACUGAGGCAGCUUGCCUGGGAGACAUACCAUAAAUAUUGGGCAAACCAGCUGUGUAGCUCAUGAGGAUAGAAGAAAUUAAUAUUACAGUCCAAUGUCUGAGAAACUGGGACAUGGCCUGGCAAGAGAGCUGUUCAUUAUGUGACUGGCUGUUGGCUGGCUCCAGUCUGGUCCAUCUGUUCUUUCUCCAUCCUCUUGUGAGCCCUAGAGCUCUCACUGUCUUCAAUGGCAGUCGAUUAUGGGCUACUUGAUGGCUGUGCAGC
Molecule: long non-coding RNA, 612 nt
Organism: Passer domesticus (house sparrow)
Lineage: Eukaryota; Metazoa; Chordata; Aves; Passeriformes; Passeridae
Exons: 4
Source: RefSeq, a predicted model, not a curated record